RNAcentral lists this ribosomal RNA (441 nucleotides) under uncultured bacterium. Its description in RNAcentral is "partial 16S ribosomal RNA". It matches the Rfam family "Bacterial small subunit ribosomal RNA", at positions 338 to 795 of the family's 1533-position model. The record is from RNAcentral.
CCUACGGGUGGCAGCAGUGGGGAAUAUUGCACAAUGGGGGAAACCCUGAUGCAGUAACGCCGCGUGAAGGAUGACGGUUUUCGGAUUGUAAACUUCUGUUCUUAGUGAAGAAUAAUGUCGGUAGCUAAGGAGCAAGCCACGGCUAACUACGUGCCAGCAGCCGCGGUAAUAUGUAGGUGGCAAGCGUUGUCCGGAAUUACUGGGUGGAAAGGGAGCGCAGGCGGGAAGGCAAGUCAGCUGUGAAAACUACGGGCUUAACUUGUAGACUGUAGUUGAAACUGGUUUUCUUGAGUGAAGUAGAGGUAAGCGGAAGUCCGAGUGUAGCGGUGAAAUGCGUAGAUAUUCGGAGGAACACCAGUGGCGAAGGCGGCCAACUGGGCUUUAACUGACGCUGAGGCUCGAAAGUGUGGGGAGCAAACAGGAUUAGAUACCCGAGGAGUC